Long non-coding RNA from Oncorhynchus gorbuscha (pink salmon), 319 nucleotides. RefSeq lists it as uncharacterized. The transcript is spliced from 3 exons. The record is from RefSeq and is a predicted model, not a curated record. Lineage: Eukaryota; Metazoa; Chordata; Actinopteri; Salmoniformes; Salmonidae.
UAAGGGUCUGGUGUUGGAUGAGAACUCGGUGAAGAAGCUGACUACUCUCCAGCUGUCAGCUACAGACCAGGACAGUGAGCCUGGAGAACUGGUGUAUCGCAUCACCAAGCAGACUGCACUGGGACACCUGGAGCACGCCAGAACCCCAGGAAGCCAAAUUACUUCCUUCUCCCAGGCUGACCUGGCUUCACGUAGCAUCCAGUACGUUCACACCAGCGAAGAAGAGAAGCACACAGACGAGUUCUCAUUCAUAGUAUCUGACGGGGCUAAUGAGGUUGCCCAGACGUUCACCAUCACCAUCCGGCCGGUGGAUGACUCC